Molecule: long non-coding RNA, 2041 nt
Organism: Hevea brasiliensis (rubber tree)
Lineage: Eukaryota; Viridiplantae; Streptophyta; Magnoliopsida; Malpighiales; Euphorbiaceae
Exons: 3
Source: RefSeq, a predicted model, not a curated record
UCAAAAUACAGAUGGCACUCUGCCGAAAUUUUUAUAAAAUUUACGGAAAAAUAAAAAUGGACAAAAAUUUUAACUAGUUUCAAACUUCAAUUAAAUGUUUUUAUUUCCUACCAAAAUGCUCACCACUUCCAAAAUAUAAGAAAAUGGUUUUAAAAUCCCUUGUAGUAUAUUUAAUGGGUUACUGGUAGGUGAAGUACGGUAAUUCAUUAGGUGUACUACGGGAACAUGUUACAUCUUACAAGGAGUAGGGUGUGACAUGUUUAGUGGUAUCAGAGCAAGGUUUUAAAAUAAAUUUUGAACUGUGAAUUUGAAAUAUUUUGUCGGUAAAUACAACUGCUCAAAUGUUUGAUAUAUAUGACAUAUUUACAUCAUGAAUAUGCACUAACGGAGGUCAACCUCCUUGUGUUUGUUAUCAGAGAGUAGAAAAAUUCUGGAAAACAGAAUGGAAGAGGGAGAUCAUUCCGUAGAGCAAUCUGUCGAGGCUGAGGCCCGAGGAGAAGCCCCAGCACUCCAGAAUGUGAGUGGGUUAGCCACUCCAGCUCCUCCUCAAGCACCGCAGUUUCCUGCUCAGUUGCACAGCAAAUGGCUGCGUUCUUUCAACAAAUGGCGGGAAAUGUGCCACCUCAAGCACAGACACAAGCACCUGCAGCACAACCACAACCUCCGGCUCGGCAAUAUGAGAAAUUAACAAAAUUUGGGGCUACAGAAUUCAAAGGAACAGUGGAUCCACUGGAAGCAGAACAGUGGUUAGAGAGGAUGGAACGGGUUUUCAGAAAACUACAAUGUGCUGAAGAGUUGAAGUUCGAAUAUUCAGUAUCACUUCUGCAAGGGGAUGCAUAUGAGUGGUGGAAGACCAUCCCCUACAGUCUGGUAGAGCCACCAGUCCUCACAUGGGCAGACUUUUUAAGGGAAUUUCGGUAAAAGUGGGUCCCCGAUACUUAUGUAGAUAUGAAGCUGCAAGAGUUUUUAAGUUUGAAGCAAGGGGAUAGAACUGUAGCAGAGCAUGAACAGGACUUUUUAAGGCUAAGCCAUUAUGCUGGAAGCUUAGUCUCCACCCCCAAAGACCGGUGUAAAAGGUUUGAGGUUGGGUUGAGGCCUAGCUUGAGAAUGCAAGUGGUAGGGUUCCGACGCUAGAAUUUUUCUGAAUUAACUUCACAAGCCCUGGAACUGAAAAGGAUAGAAUCAGAAUGGGCAAUGAAAAAGAGUACACAAGAGAAAGAGAAAACUGAAAAGGUUACUGGUCAAGCUACUGAGAGUGGCUUUAGGAAAAGAAAACAUUUUGGAGGAUCUAGCUCGUGUGAAUCGGGUAGAGGUAUAUCUUCUAGACAGAAACCAUCCCAAUCCGAUCAGUAAAAUCAACGGACACGCAGAAAUACGCUGUCGGAUUGACUUUGUGAGACUUGUGGUAAAUCACAUAGUGGAGUAUGUUAUAGAGCUAUAGGAGUACGUUUCAAUUGUGGAGGGACUGGUCAUUUUGCUAAGGAUUGCAUAAGUCCACGCCGUUAUGGAUCAUUUACCAUGGCAGAAGAAUCAGCCCAAGUUUCUACCCCGAAGAGUUUACCAAUAGUUGGUAGAGGCAGAGGCAGAGGUAGGAGUAAUACACCUGGAAGUCAGAGUACUGUAAAUCAACCAGGACAAGGUGAUGCUCUAGUGAGAGUGUACACUAUGCGACAGAGGAACAAGGAUGAAACUUCUAGUAUGGUUGCUGUUGAAAAAGACCCAGAAGGUAUAAGGAACUGAGUCAAGGCCUAGAGGCGACUCACGUCAGAUAGAGAAAAUGACAUAGCAGCAGAGCGAGCUGCUACAGUUAGAGAGGAGUAUAAUGGAAGAAUUUUUGUAUGGGUAUUUGUCUAUACCCUGGUAGUUUAGUUUGAUGUAAAUAUGAUAGUAUGCAUAUGUAUCUCUGUAAUUUGAGCAGUUGUACAAAUAAAAUUGUAAUAAUAUUAUUUUUGAGAUUUUGCAUUUGUAAAUUAACUUAUGAUUGUAAAUUAAUGAUUUAAAAUGUAAUGUGCAUGAGAUAUGAAAUAUUUUGAGAUAUUAA